CGUACAGGUUUCCGUAGGUGAACCUGCGGAAGGAUCAUUAAAGAGUAAGGGUGCUCAGCGCCCGACCUCCAACCCUUUGUUGUUAAAACUACCUUGUUGCUUUGGCGGGACCGCUCGGUUCCGAGCCGCUGGGGAUUCGUCCCAGGCGAGUGCCCGCCAGAGUUAAACCAAACUCUUGUUAUUAAACCGGUCGUCUGAGUUAAAAUUUUGAAUAAAUCAAAACUUUCAACAACGGAUCUCUUGGUUCUCGCAUCGAUGAAGAACGCAGCGAAAUGCGAUAAGUAAUGUGAAUUGCAGAAUUCAGUGAAUCAUCGAAUCUUUGAACGCACAUUGCGCCCCUUGGUAUUCCGAGGGGCAUGCCUGUUCGAGCGUCAUUACACCACUCAAGCUAUGCUUGGUAUUGGGUGCCGUCCUUAGUUGGGCGCGCCUUAAAGACCUCGGCGAGGCCUCACCGGCUUUAGGCGUAGUAGAAUUUAUUCAAUUAACGUCUGUCAAUGGAGAGGACUUCUGCCGACUGAAACCUUUAUUUUUUACAGGUUGACCUCGGAUCAGGUAGGGAUACCCGCUGAACUUAAGCAUAUCA
This 583-nucleotide ribosomal RNA is filed under the name uncultured fungus. RNAcentral's name for it is "eukaryotic LSU rRNA". The stretch from base 221 to 374 matches the Rfam family "5.8S ribosomal RNA". The record is from RNAcentral. Lineage: Eukaryota; Fungi.